Molecule: ribosomal RNA, 450 nt
Filed under: uncultured bacterium
Lineage: Bacteria
Description: bacterial SSU rRNA
Rfam family: Bacterial small subunit ribosomal RNA
Source: RNAcentral
GUGGGGAAUUUUGGACAAUGGGCGAAAGCCUGAUCCAGCCAUGCCGCGUGCAGGAUGAAGGCCUUCGGGUUGUAAACUGCUUUUGUACGGAACGAAAAGACUUCUUCUAAUACAGGAGGUCCAUGACGGUACCGUAAGAAUAAGCACCGGCUAACUACGUGCCAGCAGCCGCGGUAAUACGUAGGGUGCAAGCGUUAAUCGGAAUUACUGGGCGUAAGGCGUGCGCAGGCGGUUAUAUAAGACAGAUGUGAAAUCCCCGGGCUCAACCUGGGAACUGCAUUUGUGACUGUAGAGCUAGAGUACGGUAGAGGGGGAUGGAAUUCCGCGUGUAGCAGUGAAAUGCGUAGAUAUGCGGAGGAACACCGAUGGCGAAGGCAAUCCCCUGGACCUGUACUGACGCUCAUGCACGAAAGCGUGGGGAGCAAACAGGAUUAGAUACCCCAGUAGUCC